RNAcentral lists this ribosomal RNA (441 nucleotides) under uncultured archaeon. RNAcentral describes it as "bacterial SSU rRNA". It matches the Rfam family "Archaeal small subunit ribosomal RNA", at positions 472 to 913 of the family's 1478-position model. The record is from RNAcentral.
AAUACCGGCGCCUCAAGUGGUAGUCGAUUUUAUUGGGCCUAAAACGUCCGUAGCCUGUUUGGUACAUUCGUGGGUAAAUCAACCAGCUCAACUGAUUGAAUUCUGCGAGCACGGCCAGACUUGGGACCGGGAGAGGUGUGGGGUACGCUCAGGGUAGGGGUAAAAUCCUGUCAUCCUGAGCGGACCACCUGUUGCGAAGGCGCCACACUAGAACGGAUCCGACGGUCAGGGACGAAGCCUAGGGGCACGAACCGGAUUAGAUACCCGGGUAGUCCUAGGUGUAAACGCUGUGGACUUGGUGUUGGGGACUCUCCGAGAUUCCUCAGUGCCGAAGCGAAGGUGAUAAGUCCACUGCCUGGGGAGUACGGUCGCAAGGCUGAAACUUAAAGGAAUUGGCGGGGGAGCACCGCAACCUGAGGAUUGUGCGGUUUAAUUGGAUUC